AUCUAUCUUGAACAGCUGUACACAAGCCAAUCCCAUCUGGUUCAGGACAACACCAAAGAAGGCUGACUUCCUCUCCCCACUGGCUCUAAGUUUCGCUACGGCACUCUCAAAAGAGUUUCUUGCUUCUUCAUAUCUCCCAACCAUGUAAAGCAUCACUCCCAUUCGUGCUUCUAUUCCUGCAAUAGUGCUUUGCUGUCCUGGUUUAUCCUCUAACAAUUUCAUGGCCUUCUGCAAGAGCUUCAAUGCCUCCUCAGGUUCAUC
Molecule: unclassified non-coding RNA, 261 nt
Filed under: Hevea brasiliensis (rubber tree)
Lineage: Eukaryota; Viridiplantae; Streptophyta; Magnoliopsida; Malpighiales; Euphorbiaceae
Source: RNAcentral